RNAcentral lists this ribosomal RNA (757 nucleotides) under uncultured rumen protozoa. RNAcentral describes it as "bacterial SSU rRNA". The stretch from base 137 to 750 matches the Rfam family "Eukaryotic small subunit ribosomal RNA", at positions 1118 to 1823 of the family's 1831-position model. The record is from RNAcentral.
AUGUAGCUACGUAGCAGCAUGCCAGAGUUCAUAAUCAGACGAAGAUAGGAUCAGCAUCCAACCGUCGUAUUCAUCUUAACUAGCGACUAGAUGAUGGACAUCACAUUCAGUACUAUGAGAAUCAAGUCUUGGUUCUGGGGAGUAUGUCGCAGCUGAAACUAAGAAUGACGAAGGCACACAGGAGUGGAGCUGCGGCUAUUUGACUCAACACGGGGAAACUUACAGGUCCAGACAUAGUAAGGAUUGACAAGAUUGAUAGCUCUUUCUUGAUUCUAUGGGUGGUGGUGCAUGGCCGUCUUAGUUGGUGGAGUGAUUUGUCUGGUUAAUUCCGAUAACGAACGAGACCUUAACUGCUAACUAGUCUUUUCUAUUCCGAUAGACAUUGACUUCUUAGAGGGACUAUGUGCUCUAAGCACAAGAAAAAUAUGAGGCAAUAACAGGUCUGUGAUGCCCUUAUAUGUCCUGGGCUGCACGCGUGCUACACUGAUGCAUACAACAAGUCUCAAGCCAGUCAUGGCAUGGUAAUCUCUAAUAUGCAUCGUGAUGGGGAUUGAUCUUUGCAAUUAUAGAUCAUGAACGAGGAAUUCCUAGUAAGUGCAAGUCAUCAUCUUGCAUUGAUUAUGUCCCUGCCCUUGUGAAGAACGCCCGUCGCUCCUACCGAUACCGGGUGGUUCGGUGAACCUUUGGACCUCGCAAGAGGAAAGAUAAGUAAAUCAUAUCACCUGGAGGAAGGAGAAGUCGUAACAAGAAUCGGACC